This is a long non-coding RNA of Poecilia reticulata (guppy), 1070 nucleotides long. RefSeq lists it as uncharacterized. Lineage: Eukaryota; Metazoa; Chordata; Actinopteri; Cyprinodontiformes; Poeciliidae. The record is from RefSeq and is a predicted model, not a curated record.
ACCACCAGGGGUCGCCCCCCACAUAGUGAGCUCCCAUAAAAGGGAGGCUGUCAGGCUGGUGGCCAAUUGUCAAUCUCCUCUGUGCUCGUCCAGGUGUGUUGGCCCACGCGUUUGCGAUCAGGGCCACAUUUCAUGUUUUGAUCGGACGAUUGCUCUACCUGGGCGUGCGGUUGGUCGACGCUGCAGUUGACCUUAGUGAAAGGUGCCACCAUUGUGAGGUAAAACCACAGAAGAAGAGGAAGGUAAACUGAUGUAGAAGAAACGGCUAAAGCUAUUAACUACUUGGGUAAUUUUGUUAAACCACAAAAUGAAGACCCAGGAUCAGGAUGGAGAAACUCAGCUGGCCUGGGAACGGCUUGUACCUCCUGAGAACGAGCUGCACCUUCAGCUUCUCCACGAUCAUAAAAAGAGUAAAGAAUAAAGAAAACUGAAACGCAAACAGCUAUUAAAAACUGCAAUGUUUAUUUAACAUGAUAUAAAACAGAUGGGAUAUGAACGUUUGCAAAUCAAAUCUGUAUGUACGUACCUAUAUAUUGGGUAUAUAUUCCCAUCCUGAUGCACCAUGUACAUUAUAUACACAGUAAACCUCUGAUAGUUACACUUUAUACACACACGCAAAAAUAUCUUCAAUUUACAAAGGCUCCUUUUUUUUAUUGCUUUUUUCUUUUAGACAUGCAUUAUUUUCAGCUCCAGGGCUUUAAACCGACAUGUCCUAAAAUAGUACCAAACUCUGAAAUUUUGUCCAUCUCUCAAUUUAAAUAUAUAUCUCAGACAUAGGGAACAGAGAGCGACUUAAGUCAGAACAUUCAAAUAUGUAUAUGUAUCGGCAGCUGACUGGAAACAUCGAAAUUUACAAAUCAUUUUAGUCUGCAAGAUUAAAGUUGCUCCAAUAUUAUAUAUGAGGAAUACAGAUCUGGUAUUAAUCAGUAUAGACAAGUGUUCUUUACAAUAAAUUGAUAAAUAUAACUAGUUAGCUAAAUGUCAACAUCUGAAAAGCAAUCUGAAUUAAAUAUUAAAGAUUAAAUUUAGCUAAAAGAAUACGCAGAAGCAUCUUAAAACCUUGGAAAAAG